This 480-nucleotide ribosomal RNA is filed under the name uncultured bacterium. RNAcentral describes it as "partial 16S ribosomal RNA". It matches the Rfam family "Bacterial small subunit ribosomal RNA", at positions 29 to 507 of the family's 1533-position model. The record is from RNAcentral.
AUGAACGCUGGCGGCGUGCUUAACACAUGCCAGUCGAACGAAGCACUUUAUUUGAUUUCCUUCGGGACUGAUUAUUUUGUGACUGAGUGGCGGACGGGUGAGUAACGCGUGGGUAACCUGCCUUGUACAGGGGGAUAACAGUUGGAAACGGCUGCUAAUACCGCAUAAGCGCACAGCAUCGCAUGAUGCAGUGUGAAAAACUCCGGUGGUAUAAGAUGGACCCGCGUUGGAUUAGCUAGUUGGUGAGGUAACGGCCCACCAAGGCGACGAUCCAUAGCCGACCUGAGAGGGUGACCGGCCACAUUGGGACUGAGACACGGCCCAAACUCCUACGGGAGGCAGCAGUGGGGAAUAUUGCACAAUGGGCGAAAGCCUGAUGCAGCGACGCCGCGUGAGCGAAGAAGUAUUUCGGUAUGUAAAGCUCUAUCAGCAGGGAAGAUAAUGACGGUACCUGACUAAGAAGCACCGGCUAAAUACGUG